This 75-nucleotide transfer RNA is filed under the name Marmota monax (woodchuck). RNAcentral's name for it is "tRNA.Ala". The record is from RNAcentral. Lineage: Eukaryota; Metazoa; Chordata; Mammalia; Rodentia; Sciuridae.
GGGGUUGUGGCUCAGUGGUAGAGUACUAGCAUGCCUAGCACGUUUGAGGCACUGGGUCCGAUUCUCAGCACCGCA